CUCACCUCUCCCUCUCCACCACCUCUCCUUGUACAGAAACUAGACCCAGUAGUAGAGGCGUUGGACAGAGGGGAACCAGUGGACCUCAGCUCUCUACCUCCCCCUCCAGGAGAUGCAGUGGUAGAGCGUUCAGCUCCUCCCCAGUCUUCCUCCAGGCCCUCCCCUGCAGCUCCCCCUGCAGCUCCCCCGGUGGCCGACUCCGCCCUCCCAGCCCCAGGCAGUGUAGGGGAAGCGUUACAGCAGAGGAUGGACAGAUACAAAGCUGCAGCAGAGGGGGCCAAGAGCAAAGGAGACGACCGCAAGGCACGCAUGCACCA
Molecule: long non-coding RNA, 317 nt
Organism: Oncorhynchus keta (chum salmon)
Lineage: Eukaryota; Metazoa; Chordata; Actinopteri; Salmoniformes; Salmonidae
Exons: 3
Source: RefSeq, a predicted model, not a curated record